Molecule: long non-coding RNA, 1127 nt
Organism: Lotus japonicus
Lineage: Eukaryota; Viridiplantae; Streptophyta; Magnoliopsida; Fabales; Fabaceae
Exons: 3
Source: RefSeq, a predicted model, not a curated record
ACUCAGAGCCCUCAUUUCACCCCAAACUCAUGUCUCAGUAAUCUAACAACAAACCAGAGAGGAUAGAGCAUUAUCUGUUUCUGGUUAAACUCUAAUUUGAAAAAUGAAAAGAAAGGGUAUUGAUCAAAUUGGUAGGCGCAUAAAAUUAGAACAUUGCACCCAUUGUCAUUUUAAUGAAAUGCAAAAAUGAAAUCAAGGCUGAUCUGAUAAUGAACACUUAAACAAGGAGUUUUGAAUUUUAUCAAUCUUGCAGAAAGGAUAGAUAAAGCGUGCGUUCUCUGUUUCUCGUCAAAAAAGAAAGUGGAGAUGCGGGGUAUCGAUCCCCGUACCUCGAGCGCUCUACCAUCUGAGCUACAUCCCCACUUGAGUUAUUGAUAGAAACAAUAAACUUUUGAUUUCUUUUUUCACGGGCAAUAAACUUUGUUUUAGAAGAGGCCUUUUUCUUUUGUCAAAAAAAUAUCAUUCAUUCAUGACACCAAACUAAAGACACAUUAUCCCUCCCUGAGCCGUUGCCACCCUCUACCCUGUCUGAAUUGCCACCAUCCUCUCGUUGAUACUAUUGUGGCGUGUUGUCGUCCUCUUGGAGAGCGAUUGUCAAGAGAGGAUAGGGCCUGGAAAUCCAUCCCACUGGAAUUCGCGAGAGAUCUUUAUUACCGGAAGCAGGGUCAUCGACGAAGAUCGAUCUCAGAGAUGCAUGCAGUGGAACAUGGUACUACCGUACUAGUGAAUGAGAUGCUUGGCACCACUCAUCAAAAUGAGCCUCUUCAGGUUCAAUACCAUCAUGAAUGAUCACUAAUGAUGGGAAGCUCUAGAUGGUCGCUGCACUUUGCAUGUAAGGAAAAAUCCUGAAGAUCUUAGUCAUGUCAUCAAGUAAGUCUGCGUUAUGGCUAUACCGCUCUGGUUGUGGUUUUCGUGUAUUAGAGAGCAUGAGUACAUAGGACUCUUGUGCUCUUGGCUACACUAGAUUAGACCCAUGUUAGUGUUAGUUUGUUGAAGUAACAACUUGUUGUGCAAGCCUCCUCUCCUUUAUAUAUAAGGAAAGUCUUGUACCUGCAACAGUAAGCUUUUACCUAAUAACGUAUAAUACAAUAAUUUUCAGAUCUCUCAGUAUUAGAUCUAGGUUUUCA